GAUGAACGCUGGCGGCGUGCCUAAUACAUGCAAGUCGAGCGAACGGACGAGAAGCUUGCUUCUCUGAUGUUAGCGGCGGACGGGUGAGUAACACGUGGAUAACCUACCUAUAAGACUGGGAUAACUUCGGGAAACCGGAGCUAAUACCGGAUAAUAUUUUGAACCGCAUGGUUCAAAAGUGAAAGGCGGUCUUGCUGUCACUAUAGAUGGAUCCGCGCUGCAUUAGCUAGUUGGUAAGGUAACGGCUUACCAAGGCAACGAUGCAUAGCCGACCUGAGAGGGUGAUCGGCCACACUGGAACUGAGACACGGUCCAGACUCCUACGGGAGGCAGCAGUAGGGAAUCUUCCGCAAUGGGCGAAAGCCUGACGGAGCAACGCCGCGUGAGUGAUGAAGGUCUUCGGAUCGUAAAACUCUGUUAUUAGGGAAGAACAUAUGUGUAAGUAACUGUGCACAUCUUGACGGUACCUAAUCAGAAAGCCACGGCUAACUACGUG
This 496-nucleotide ribosomal RNA is filed under the name uncultured bacterium. RNAcentral describes it as "partial 16S ribosomal RNA". It matches the Rfam family "Bacterial small subunit ribosomal RNA", at positions 28 to 507 of the family's 1533-position model. The record is from RNAcentral.